Long non-coding RNA from Fukomys damarensis (Damara mole-rat), 3565 nucleotides. The record is from Ensembl. NCBI's taxonomy places the organism in Eukaryota, Metazoa, Chordata, Mammalia, Rodentia, Bathyergidae.
GGUUUGUAUAUUUAGAAUCAGUGUGAAUUUUACCCCAUUUGUUGUGGGCCAGAGUGAGAGCCUGAGUGAAAGCAAUCAAUUCUUCUUGUUGUGAGGUGGUAUUGAGUGGAAAUGGAUUGUCUCAAUUGUCUGUUUUAAAGAGACUAUGGCAUAUCCUGCCCACUUCUGUCCAGGUACCUGAGUGGGAAUCGAGCUGCCAUCAAUAAACCAUGUGAAUUCUGGGUCUGAGACGGCCUCUGAAGAUACAUUAUGGAGGGAAGGAAGCAGGUUUUUGGUCACCUUUGUGCCUGGUUGAAGCAGCAGAUGUGUAACUGAAGGACAUGGAAGGCCAACUUUACCAUCUAUACUUAAAUAUUUUCUAUCAUCUCUCUAUUAUCUAUCUAUCUAUCAUCUAUCUGUUAUCUAUGUAUCAUCUAUCUUCCAUCCAUCUCAUUACCUGUCUAUCCACACACUCAAACACAUACACAUACCCUAUGGCUUCUGUUCUCAGGAGAUCCUCACCACUCCUUGGGGCCAGCUCACUGGAAUUCCUCCCAGUAGAGAGCCCAGAUGAGAAGCAGUGGACCAGACUGUGGAAGUUGAAAGAAAAGAGCAGAGGGAAGCAGUCAGUCAUCUUCACAUGGAGGGGAGCUGGGACAAUGAGCUGAAGGCAAACUGUUCAACCACACAAGCCCAACCAGAGCAGAGAAAGUACCUAGACCUGACACUCCACCAGCUAUCUCGCCUUGUGACUGUGUCUGCCAUAAGUAAAACCUCACAGGGUGGGGAAGGAGGAACCUCCCUCUAGGGGUUCUGGGUGAAUAAGGCAGAUACUUAUCACCUUACCCUAUUGGUUUGGCUUGGAAUCCCAGGCCGAGACAUUCUCUUCACUGUUUGUAUCUUGAGGGAUUAAUAGAUGUGCUGUUCCUAACUUCAGUGUUAAUUCUGUAGGACAGCAUGGCCUGCUCUAAGGCACUCUACAGUUUGAUACCUUCAAGAGCAGAGGUUAGGUGUUGUGCUAGUUUCCUUCUUUCCUGAAAUUGUUCCCUGUUAACAAGGAGACCCUUUUGUUGGGUUUUAAUGGCCAAAUUAGCAUCUUCCCUUGCCAUCUGGAAACACUUCCAGUGAGUUCUAUAAGCUGUGAUUCAAUCCAGAGGUGAGAAUGACAUGUCGGGGCUGGCAUGUGCAGAUGGAUGGCUGAUUCUCCUCAGGAGAACAGCAGGGUGGUGGCAGCAGUGUUGGAUGAGCAUAUCAAGGCCUCUUGGAGAGGUGCUCUGUGCUUGAGUUCUGCAAGGCAAUGUGAAAACCGUCAAGAUUCAGAUGCAGCAGACAGGCUUCAGGGCUUCUGGGCUGGUGCUGGUAAAGGGGGGCACAGAUUCUUCCUGAUGAGAGGUGUAAUGGAGAAUACCCCCACUGUGCAGGAAGGUGUUUCCACUGACAUACUGGAGGUUUUUCAUGGAGAAGAUUGGUUUGCUUGCUGAAUCUGAGAGAUCUGCUGCAUCAUUACAGCUUCUGCAUCAACACUGUGGGUACCAACGUUACCCACCUUGACCGAGCUCAGCAGCAGCUUGGCAAUUGUACUAGGUCCUUCUCAGAUCAAAGAUGCAGGAAAUGCCCAACAUAGACAACUUCCAACCCUCCUAAAAUCUAACCUUUUCUGCUUAACUAAGAACAAGUAACAAUUAUACCAUCCUUGCUCUGUGUCAGGCACUGGCUUAGAUACUUAAGCCUUUAUGGCCACAGUGGGAGAUGGAGAUACUGUCUUCACUGUUAUUUUACAAAUGAGGAUGGAGGGAAGAGGGAUUAACGUGGCAUCCACAUGCUCAUAAAACUUAUGAGCCAUAGGACUAGACACUAACUCCAUGAACACCCAUGCCCAGAGGUCUCUGGCUCUUGCAUGGCCAGAUGCCAUACCUGGGACUGAACUCAAAUAGGAGGAAGCACCAGAGAAGACACCAGUGCUAAAGAGUCCAUGUCACCUCAGUUUCACCAAGCAGUAGUGUUUUGAUCAGGUGGAUAUAUUAGAAGCUGUGGCAGCUGAGUUAAACUAAUGCAUUUUGAAGUAGGCAUAGUGGUGCAUGCCUGAAAUCCCAGCACUUUGAAAGGCUGAGACAGGAGGCUCACAAGUUUGAGCUCGGCUGGUGCAGCUUAGUGUCUUGGGGAGACAUGUCAAAAGAAUUUUAAAAGGGCUGGGGAUAUACUUCAGUGUGAAGUCCCCGGGUUUAAUCUCCAGUUUAAUCAAUCACAAAAUAACAACCAAAGAAUGUGAACAUGCUUUGACAGUUGUUUGGUUGCUGACUAUGUGACCUGUUUAUCUAUCUUCAGUAGGAAAAUGAUAACACUAAUCUCAAUUUCCAGCAGAUUGUUACAAGGAAUAAUCAUGAAAAUGCUUCUAAAGCACAGUAAAGUGGACAAAAAUGAAGCCAUUUGUCACUCCAUAGGAAGCAAAUUUCUAUGAAAAAUUAGUUAACAUUCAUGAAUAUAAUAAAAGAAGACUAUAAGGCUCCUUCUAACAUCAGUGUAAUUGUGCCAAUUUUCCAGCACUGUGCUACAACUAGGGCCCAGGAGAAAGCUCAGCUCCAACCACCUAAGUUUGAAUUUUGCUUUCAUGAAUCCACAUUCGAUUAGGCUUUGGUGGGUGACACUGAGGACCUGCUCAAUGUUCCCCUCCUGCAAGGUGACAGUGAGGGGAGAGCAGUGAAUGGAAGCGGCUCAAGACACCCUCCUGCUCCUAGACAGUGGCACUCACACUUCCUAUUGCUACAGCUACCCAGGCAGCUGACCAAGUUAGUGUCAACAGACCUUGACUUUGCUAAAGGAGAGAGCCAGGUGUAUCAACGUGCUCUACCCGGACCAAGGUCCAUGGGCAUAUAAAAAUUUUCCUGGUGAACUCAGCCUCCUGGCUUAAGCUAUGCAAUGAAGCAUGUGGUGCCAAGCAUAGAAGCUGGGCUACUUUUUCCUGCCACCAACCAAACCCAGAGGUGACUAUGAUUCUCAAAGUUCAGUGAGUGCAUUCUCCAAAAUAGCAAGUCAGUGCAUUUCCCAAAAUAGUAAACCUACAGUGUUUUAUAAAAUCCCAGAUGGGGUGGUCCAUGCCUGCUGAGACUUCCUUUUAUAAGCCUGUCAGGGAGAGAUAUAAAGGAAUAAUAGUGAGGUAGGCCAUGUCAGGGGUCAGGGAAAGGGUAGGGCUGAUGAAUGAAGAAUCAUGGAUAAGGACAGGGAACAGACACUGGGUCCAACUCCAAGCUCAUCAAUGUAAGACCACAGUGGGUGGCAGCCCAGGUCCUAGGAGGUGGGCACGCAGCAGAGGCUGUGGUUUAUGAUGCAUAAAUAGGGAAGGUGCAAUGACACAGGCAGGCUGGCUGGCAGCCUUGGACCGCAGGUGCGUGAAUGGGGAGGCUGGAAAAGGAGGAACGGGGUUUCUUGCCAGUAGAUUGUGGGGCAAUGGUGAGUGCUCCAUUAAAAACAUAAAGUAAAAGUGCAGAUUCUAGAAUAGACUCAAGCUCACAAGAACCUGAAAGCAAGCUUGACCUUCAUAUAUGCAUUUAACGUCCAUCUGUUCAUCCAUUUACUCAUCACCGAUCCA